Molecule: ribosomal RNA, 500 nt
Filed under: uncultured bacterium
Lineage: Bacteria
Description: bacterial SSU rRNA
Rfam family: Bacterial small subunit ribosomal RNA
Source: RNAcentral
CAGGCCUAACACAUGCAAGUCGAGCGGACAGAUAAGGAGCUUGCUCCUUUGAAGUCAGCGGCGGACGGGUGAGUAACACGUGGGCAACCUGCCUAUAAGACUGGGAUAACUCCGGGAAACCGGGGCUAAUACCGGAUAGAUUCUUUCCUCUCAUGAGGAAAGAAGGAAAGACGGUUUCGGCUGUCACUUAUAGAUGGGCCCGCGGCGCAUUAGCUAGUUGGUAAGGUAACGGCUUACCAAGGCGACGAUGCGUAGCCGACCUGAGAGGGUGAUCGGCCACACUGGGACUGAGACACGGCCCAGACUCCUACGGGAGGCAGCAGUAGGGAAUCUUCCGCAAUGGACGAAAGUCUGACGGAGCAACGCCGCGUGAACGAAGAAGGCCUUCGGGUCGUAGAGUUCUGUUGUUAGGGAAGAACAAGUACGAUAGUAACUGAUCGUACCUUGACGGUACCUAACCAGAAAGCCACGGCUAACUACGUGCCAGCAGCCGCGGUAAU